Molecule: ribosomal RNA, 672 nt
Filed under: Staphylococcus epidermidis
Lineage: Bacteria; Bacillati; Bacillota; Bacilli; Caryophanales; Staphylococcaceae
Description: bacterial SSU rRNA
Rfam family: Bacterial small subunit ribosomal RNA (bases 1-523)
Source: RNAcentral
CUUGCUCCUCUGACGUUAGCGGCGGACGGGUGAGUAACACGUGGAUAACCUACCUAUAAGACUGGGAUAACUUCGGGAAACCGGAGCUAAUACCGGAUAAUAUAUUGAACCGCAUGGUUCAAUAGUGAAAGACGGUUUUGCUGUCACUUAUAGAUGGAUCCGGCCGCCGCAUUAGCUAGUUGGUAAGGUAACGGGCUUACCAAGGGGCAACGAUGCGUAGCCCGACCUGGAGAAGGGGUGAUCGGCCACACUGGGAACUGGAGACACGGGUCCAGGACUCCUACGGGGGAGGCAGCAGGUAGGGAAUCUUUCCGCAAUGGGGCGAAAGCCUGACGGGAGCAACGGCCGCGUGAAGUGAUGGAAGGUCUUCGGGAUCGUAAAAACUCUGUUUAUUAGGGGAAGAACAAAAUGUGUAAAGUAACUAUGGCACGAUCUUGAACGGUUACCUAAAUCAGAAAAGCCACGGGCUAAACUAACGUGGCCAGCCAGCCCGCGGGUAAAUACGUUAGGUUGGCCAAGCGUUUAAUCCGGGAAUUAAUUGGGGCGGUAAAGCGGCGCGUUAGGCCGGUUUUUUUUAAGGUCUGGAUGUUGAAAAGCCCCACGCGCCUCAAACCGGUGGGAGGGUUCAUUUGGGAAAACUGGGAAAACCUUGAAGUGCCAGAAAAAGGGAAA